UGGGUAUGAUGCCCAAUUAGUCAUCUCUGGAAACAAACUGAGUUUAUACCAUAAUGGUAUUAGUUUCUGCUAUGUACUUUUAUAAACAGCCAACUAAUAUGUCAGCUACUCGCCAAUCUUUCUAGCUUCUCCUUGGUUAUAUUUUGUAACCAUACUACCACAGCAGAUAGCAGGCAUAGUGAGAAACUUGGUUUGCAUUAUAAUAUGACGAGUACAGCAGUAGUUAUGGAUGCUAGGAUAGGAAUGUCUUGUGAAAACAGAAGAACAAAUGGGAUAUAAGUAUGGCGAGGCUUGCUUUCGUUUAUGUUUCUAGUAUCAUGUACCAUUUAGACUUAAAUUUUUGUUUUAUUUCGACAUGUUAUGCAUAGAAAUACUUGAGAUGUUGUUAUGUACUUUGAGCAUCAAUAUUAAUCAAAAUUUAUUUACUUA
This is a long non-coding RNA of Rosa rugosa (rugosa rose), 429 nucleotides long. RefSeq lists it as uncharacterized. The transcript has 2 exons. NCBI's taxonomy places the organism in Eukaryota, Viridiplantae, Streptophyta, Magnoliopsida, Rosales, Rosaceae. The record is from RefSeq and is a predicted model, not a curated record.